GUCUUUUUGACUUAAAUAUAAAGUAUAACCUGCCCAUUGAUAUUUUUAAAAGGCUGCGGUAUAUUGACCGUACAAAGGUAGCAUAAUCAUUAGUUUUUUAAUUGAGAACUUGUAUGAAUGGUUGAAUGAGAAAUGAACUUUUUUAAUAAAAAAAUUGAAUUUUACAUUUUAAUUAAAAGGUUGAAAUGUAUUUAAAAGACGAGAAGACCCUAUAGAGUUUUAUAAUUUAUAUUUAAUAUUAAAAAAAAUUAAUAGAUAUUUUUAUUUAAAUAAUUAUUUUGUUGGGGUGAUGAUAAAAUUUAACUAACUUUUAUUUUUUUUUUACAUUAAUAUAUGGGAAAUUGAUCCACUAUUAGUGAUUAAAAGAUUAAAUUACCUUAGGGAUAACAGCGUAAUUUUUUUUUUAAGUUCAUAUUAAUAAAAAAUUUUGCGACCUCGAUGUUGGAUUAAGAUUUAAUUUUAGGUGCAGAAGUUUAAAAUUUAAGUCUGUUCGACUUUUAAAUUCUU
This 507-nucleotide ribosomal RNA is filed under the name Pseudolycoriella tewaipounamu. Its description in RNAcentral is "partial large subunit ribosomal RNA". The record is from RNAcentral. Lineage: Eukaryota; Metazoa; Arthropoda; Insecta; Diptera; Sciaridae.